Molecule: long non-coding RNA, 31373 nt
Filed under: Lactuca sativa (garden lettuce)
Lineage: Eukaryota; Viridiplantae; Streptophyta; Magnoliopsida; Asterales; Asteraceae
Description: long non-coding RNA (LSAT_LNC009923)
Source: RNAcentral
UUUUUCAUGUCUUUCUUGUUCUGGAAUAAUUAUAUCAUAGAAAAUACUCACUGAAUUUUAAGAAUCCUCCAUCAUUACCAUUAGUACAAAACAAAGCAAGAUAAACAUAGUUAUAUUUUGCUAUACAUUCGACUUACAUAGAAAAGGGUUCUUAUACACCACAAACAAACAUACUAAACUAUAAUAGGUAUAGUUUAUGUUCAUUUACAUUAGAAAAGGUUUUCAUACGAAAAGGGGUACAAAUACAAAGUAUCGGUUUUAUACGAAAAGGGGUACAAAUACAAAGUACUGGUUUUAUACAAAAGGGGAACAAAUACAAAGUACUAGGUUUUCAUGCGAAAAGGGGUACAAAUACAAAGUACCGACUUUAUACGAAAAGGGGUACAAAUACAAAGUACCGAUUUUAUACAAAAAGGGGUAUACAUACAAAGUACCAGGUUUCCAUACAAAAAGGGGUACAAAUACAAAGUACCAGGUUCACAUGAAAUAGUUUUCAUGAUAUUAAAACUAUAUUUCAUCUAGAAUUAUUAGACUUCAGCUAUAAUUGUUAAGUGUAUAUGCUAGAGUUAUACAAGAAUCUAGUCACAAUCGACUUAGAAUUGGUGGGCCCACCUUAUCUCCUGUUCCUUGUUUGGUUGUGGACAUGGGGCAGACCCAUUAUAUUCAACGAUUUAUUUAACUAAAUUUUUAUAUAAUUUAUAUACGCUGAGUGAUUAUAGAAUGAAUAUAUGGGUCUUUCUAGGAUUCAUUAUCGCAUAACAUAGAAGCAUUCAUUUCAUACAUAAUAAGGAAAAUAUUGGAUUUUCUAGAAACAUACUUUGUUACUUUUACAAGGAAAACAGUUUCAUUCUGAAACAAAACUCUUAUGAACUCACCAACUUAAUUGUUGACACUUUUUCAAACUUACUUGUAUUCUCAGGAAAUUAGUGAAACAGGAAAACAUCAGUGCCUUAAGGAUGGGACGUUAAAUCGUCAAACAAUUUAUUUUGUCAUCAUAAUGUAAUUGAUUUUGAAACAUGUAAACACAUACUUUGGUGUAACUUUUUCAAUUAUAUUUAUGAUGGUUGUAUUUACUUUGAGCACUAUUAUACUCGUUGUUGUGAUACUAUACAUGAAGUCCUCUACCCCCGAAUGUUUCCGCCAUCCUUGGUUUGGGGGUGUGACAUAAUCCUUUGUAGGGGGAGCGUGAUACUUGUGAAUAGAUCUAUACGGGAUUCACAAUCCCGCACCUAAGAUGUUAGCUACAGCUAGGCCGGCAGGCCUGGGGUGACAAAUGUCAUAACUUUCCAACGCCUGAAGGACAUAGCUAUAGGAAUCCUGGUCAAAUAGCAUGGUUAUAAGACACACAUGGAGUAUUAGAAACACGUUGGUUUACGGGGUUAUCAAAUGCCUUAGUGAUUUUAUAUUUACACAAAUAUACUACUCUAGGCUUGAAAAACACGAUUUCAUUUCAGUUUUGGAACUUUUAAACUACCACACACUCAUGGAUAAAUGUUGGUCUUUUAGAAACAAAUAUUCAAAAACAGUUGGGCCUCGAUAAAAGGCUACUUUUAUACUGGUAGAAAAUAUGGGAUUUUCUAGGAGUUUUCAAAACAUAUACAAACAAUUACAUUGAACGAUUUCAAACGUUUUUAUCAAACUUAUACGAACAAUGACAUUAAAUAUUUAUGAACUUACCAACUUAAAUGUUGACCUACACUUUCAAAAUAACUUGUAUUCUCAGGUCACCAGUAGACAGGUAUGAUGACCAGGUUUUGCAAAGACGGAGCAGUCGAGACUCGUCUUUUAUUUUGAUUACUUGUUGUAAUGUCUUAUUACUAUGAAAGAACACACAUGUAUUAAACUAUUACUAUUAAUGAAAUGGAUGAUGUUGUUGCUUGUUUACUACUUUGCAUUGUUGUGAUACAUUACAUGAUGUCCUCCGCCCCAGAACGUUUCCGCCUUUCCGGUUUUGGGGUGUGACAAAAAUAUGGAGAGAUUUUUGGUCCUAGCAACAACUUGGAGAGACUUUCGAACUUAGAGGAGUUCUAGGAGAUUAGAUCAUAAACAAAGCUAUGUAAGAUGGAUUUUUUUUUAUUUAGAUGGAAGUAGAUGUUUGUGUUUAAUACUAACUUACCAAAGUUUGAAGAAAGCUUGAUGAAGAUCUAUAGAAACUCUAGAAGAUUUUGAGAUAUCUUGAUGGGAGGUGGAGGAUGAUCUUGAAGGUGGUUUGGAGAAAAUUUGGAAAUCUGUGUGUGUGUGUGUUGUGAUCUUUUUACGUGAGUAAUAAUAAGAAGAAGAGAGAAGGAGAGAAAGGAUAGGUGCAUAGAGACAUGAGAAGUUUCAUGGAAGUCCAACAUGUAAUAAGGAGGUGGCUGUCACACCCCCAAACCAAGGAUGGCGGAAACGUCUCGGGUGGUAGACUUCAUGUAUAGUAUCAUAACAACGAGUAUAAUAGUGAUCAAAGCAAUACAACCAAUCAUAAAUACAAUCGGAAAAGAAUUACAUAGUUUCAAGUGUUACAUAUUUCAAUGAUUGAUUACAACAUGAUAUGAAAAAUAGUUGUUCAACGUCGUAGCAUACCAUCCUCAAAAGCUUGUGAUUUCCUGGUUUCGUUGAUUCCCUAAGAAUACAAGUAGUUUGGAAAAAGUGUCAACAAUUAAGUUGGUGAGUUCAUAAUCUUUUUAGAUGAGGAGUUUGGAAACCAAUCUUUGUAAUGAGUUACACACUAAGGUAAAGUCAACACUCCACCGUAAGUAUCUUAUCCAAGAGAUAUUAUUCUUAGGCAGUGAUUUUCCUCCAAAUAUGAUUAAAAUAUGAAUGUUUAGGGUCUCUUAUGUUAAACUACGAGUUUGGGUGAAAACCUCGUGUUAAAAUCACGAAAAAUGGGCUUAAAAUGCUAAAAGAGUUGAAAACCGGGAAAUUUAGGUGAAUCUGUGAAGUCAGGGACGAAGGUACGGUCCUUGUGCUUAGAACAAAGGGUAAGUUCGGUCUAUGGCUGGGAACCGAGAGCUGGCUGAACCGAGAAAUUUCGCACGCGAAGGUGUUGGGUAAGAAGCGAAGGCGAAGUCAGGCGUGAGAGGCGAAGGCGAAGUGAGCAGAGGGAGCUUCGGUUCGAAGGUCUGAUCCGAGCCGAAGGUGCUAGGAGCCGAACCAGAAGGUGACUUCGGUCCUAUAAGAGGUUUCGGUUCCUUAUGGGAAGUUUUAGUACAUGGCAGUUUCGGUCCUCCUUGGUUUGGUUCUUGCUAGUUUUGGUCCAAGAGGCUUCUUACGGGUUUCAUUUCUUAGGGUUUCGGCCCUAAGAAGGUUCGGUCCUAAGAGGCUGUUUUUCGUGUAGACUUCCGUUUUCGAGCUAUUUUCGUCUAAUUAACGGGUCAGGAUGCCCCAAGUGAUUAUAAGAAGUUGAGAGAGAUUUGGGAGAGAUUUCACACACUUUGAGAGAUUUCUCAUACAAAGUGAGAUUUGGUAGAGAUUUCACAUUUUUGGAGAGAUUUCUCAUACAAAGAGAGAUUUGGGAGAGAUUUCACAUUCUUGGAGAGAUUUGGGAGAAAUUUCACAUUCUUGGAGAGAUUCGGGAGAGAUUUCACAAUCUUGGAGAGAUUCGGGAGAGAUUUCACAUUCUUGGAGAGAUUUGGGAGAGAUUUCACAUUCUUGGAGAGAUUUGGGAUAGAUUUCAAAUAGAGAGAGAUAAAGCGAGAGAGAUUUAGAGAGGCUUUAUUUGCGACUUUUGUGAGUGUUUAAUUUGGAAAGGCAAGGUUUGUAAAACCCAUUAAGCCUCGUUAUGAACUUUAUACACCCUCGAAGGGUAUGUAUUAAUGUUUUUAUUGACUAGUUCCAUCUCUUACCCUAAUUUGGGUGUGGAUUUUCUGAACACGUGAAACUUUAAGCGAUGCUUUGUAUUAAGAUGGUGUGUUGUACAAUAGUAAACAUAAGGUAAACCCUAAUAUAAAAGGGUUAAUUGAGUUGACCGGUUUGACUUGUUGACUUUAUUUGACUUUGAUUUGACCAGAAAUUGAUGGUUGUCACAUCGUCCCCCCGUUAGAAGGAAUUUCGUCCGGAAAUUGACGUUUCCACUGGGACAUCAAGAGUUGGGGAAAAGAUGUGGGUGUUUUUGUUUCAUCUGAUCUUCGCAUUCCUAAGUGAAGUCGGGUCCUCGUUGUGCGUUCCAAUGGACCUUCACAAUAGGGAUGCGACUUGAUUUCUAUCGGUUUUUCCACAAAGUGGAGACUCUCAUCGAUUUUGAUUUCGUCGAGUGGAAUCACGAGGGUCUUGUCGGAUAGACAUUUCUUUUAAGUUCGAUACGUAGAAGGUAAGAUGUACGUUAUCAAGUUCUUGUGGCAGCCGAAGUUUGUGUGCCAGUGGCCAAUCCUGGAGAAGAUUUCAAAUAGCCCGAUGUAUCUUGGAUUUAGUUCCCAUGUUUACCAAAGCGUACCGUUCUUUUCCACGGUGAGACCUUUAGUAGUACAUGGUCACCAACCUGGAAUUCCAAGGGUUUGAGUCGCUUAUUUGCGUAGCUCUUUUGUCGAUCUCGAGACGCUUUCGGUCUUUCUCGAAUUUCUAUGAUCUUUUUUGUUGUCUCUCUUAUGAUUUCAGGGUCAGCAAGGGUGCUGUUAGGGACUCGCCCCUCCGAUAGCUGUGUACCUCCCACUUCAGCCCAGCGCAGUGGUGAUCUGCCCUUACGGAUAUACAAAGCUUCGAAUGGAGCAAACUUGAUGUUAGGGUGAUUGUUGUUGCUGUGCAAAAAUUCAAUGAAUGGUAAGUGGGCAUUCCCACGCUUUACCGAAGUCAAUCACUCAAGCCAUUGGCAUGCUUCCCAGGUUUGAAUGGUUUCCUUUGCUCUACCUGUCAGUUUGCUGGUGGUAGGCCGUACUCAAGCCUAGUCUAGUCUCUAUAAGGGUUGCCAGAACCACGAAAGGAAUCUACCAUCUCUGUUAAAGAUAAUGGGUAUUGACACACCAUGCAGUCGUGUGAUCUCUUUGAUGUACGUUCUAGUAAAAUUCUCUAUCUUUCUGGUUCCUUUGAUUGGUCGGAAGUGCACGGAUUUGGUCAACCUAUCAACAAUUACCCAAAGGUAUCAAGACCACCCUUUUACUUAGGUAACUUGGUUGUGAAGUUCGUGGCUAUCCGCUUCCACCUCCUUUCGGUUAUCAUUGGUUGUUUGUAGGAAACUCGAAGACUUCUAUUAUCCUACCUUGACCUUGGCACAAGUCCGAUACUAUCCCACAUGUGUAGCGAUGUCAGCUUUCCUAUUCGGCCACUGAUGUUACUUUUUUGACGUCCAGACACAUCUUAUCCGAGCCUGGAUGAAUGAAGUAGCGAGUUUUCAUGUUCAUUGCUCAUGACGUCAUUUCUGAUUCCGUCGACCUCGGUGUCUAGAUCCGGUUCAUGGGAUAACAUGCCAUGUUGUCCUUGUCUUAUAGGUUCUUAUGAUCGGUGAAUAUUGUACACUCCGUGUCGUAGAGAUAGUGUCUUUAGAGAUGUAGGGCGAAUACUACCGCACCUAGUUCGAGGUCAUGCAUGACCUAGCUGACCUCGUACGUCUUUAGUUGUCUUAAGUCAUAAGUAGAAAAAUCUUCUCCUCGGAGCGCUGCAUAGGGCCUGCUAUAGUGUUUCUCGAUUGAUUAGUUCAGUAAGGAGCAUAUGGGUUUAGUUUACGCGACUAGACUUAUUUGGAUGGCAGAACGUUCACUCGCACUCUUGGGUAGUCUUGACCCGAAGUUCCUGGUAAGAUUCGUACCUGGUCCCUCUAUCUCUAACUUGUGCAUAAAGGUCGUAUGUAAUUAGGGUUGCUAAGACAGUUGGAUGGGUGACUCUGCCCCAAUUCCUCAACCAGACAAGGAAUUGGAAAUAGGAAGGAAGCACACAUCCAAUGUACGUAGAAUCUUAACUAUAUAUUAUCCUUGGGUAUACAUUUAGUAGUGAUAGACUAACCAUAUUCAUCCCAAGCUUCCGUGCUUGAUCUUGACCUGUUAUACGAGGGAUAUUCUCGAAGGGUUUACCAGGAAUAAUUUGAAAAGGUUACAGAGGGUAUAACACACCUCCAGAGAGUGCUUUGGGGUUUCACAAUGAAGGAUGACCAGAUAAUAAGAGUCAGAUUUAGGGUUAUGAGAGAUGAGGGUUUCGAUAUUCAGCUGGAUAAGUGGAGGGUCUUCUCGUAACAUAUGCAAUUGAUAAGGUGAUGAUCCAAACCAAUCCAUAUAGAAUGACGACACAGGAUUUUCUUGAUGACACAUGUAUCAAGUCGUAUUCGUAAGAGGUAUUCGUUAUAGUGAUAGUGCAUCCUUUAUUUCUUUUUUUUAGUGUUUUCCGUUUUGAUCGUUGUUAUUGUUGCUGCAAAUGAUUUAUACCAUAGUAGCUAGUGCUGGUAGUAUGUGUGUUUUGAUAACUAGUAAUGAUACUUUAUAUUGUGAUCCCUGGCCGAUCAUUCUAUGAUCAAUUGGUAUAUGCAGGUCUUAUGUCAUUUGAUAUUGAUGAAACCAACGAGUGAAUGGCUCUACCCUAAUCCCACCAUUAGACAUGGAACAAGAAUUAGGAUGAAAUUAUUCGCUUUAAGUCUGUAGUAUUUUGAUUAUAAUUAAUCAUGAUGUAUGCGUCAAUUCAUCACAACUCACCGGUAAUGAUCCUAAGGUCACAUAUGAGUGUCUUUGAUUCGGUUUAACGAGAUCGUAUUUUAACUACUUUUUGAAAGACGGUAAUUUUUAGCAAACACACCGAGUUCAUUACAAACAUACAAUACUUAAACGUUUUCGUUGUUGGAAACAUUACAAAGGUCCUAAUAAGAUUGCUUGUUGCUCUUGCGAGUUUGUUUGUCACACUCCUCCUGCUCCCUCUUCAUGCCUCUCAGUUGGACAGUCUCUCUUGAAGUGUCCCAUUACACCACAUAGGUGGCACACUGGACUUACAUUGGUAUUGGCGGUUGAAGUGAUGUGCUGAGUCGGGGUCCUGCAGGAGCGAAUUGUAUGUCCUUUCAUGUUGCAUUUGAUACAGUAUGGAAUCCGGCAAGCUCCAGUGUGAUGGUAGUUACACUUGUUACACUUUGGAAGUGUUCCCAUAUAUUGCCUAUCUAGUGUUUGAGAGACAGAUGUUGUGGCUGAGGUCGAGACAUGUGUUGCGAUUGCUGUCGUAAUUGUAGGGGCAGCCACGGAUUGCUGUCUCUUAGCGAAUUUUUGAGAUGGGUUGCACUUCUUUCUGUUCCGAAACUUCCGUUUCUUACUCUUAGGUUUGUGGUCUGAGUUAUUUUCGUUGGUAGACGCCCGCUGGUGUUCUUGAUUGUCAUUACGGUUAGUAUUUCCGGUACCAUUUUCGUGCCCACUGUCGUGUUAGCAUUGAGUUGUGCCAUAACAGUUGCCUCAACUACCGUGACUGCAUCUUGAAAAGUAGCAGAAUCUAUCUCCAAGGUUGGCUCUUGGUGAGGACAUAAUUUUGUUUCAUGAUGAAGAAUGAUUUCGUGAGUGGGGAUGAUUACCUCAAGUGCAUUCUUACAAUUUCUAUUCACACAUAUAAAUUUCGCACAUUGCUGCGCUAAUCUUAGUGUUUUGAUAAACAAUCCCGAGAGGGAGUUACGAAAAUGGGUAGAAGUGGGUUUUGUACGAAUGUUAAAUUUACCCAUCCUAGAUACUAUCUUUGUCCAAACACUCUUUGCCGCGGAGUUCUGAAGGGAUCCGGUGCAUUAGUGCUGGUAUGAUCGCACCCUAGAUGCCUACCAAAAAGGCACCUUUCAACCAAAAUGUUUAAAGGUGAGACAAUAAUGAGUCGUUAGAAAGGGUUGGGCGUCGUAAGUUAUCUAACUAAGUUCAUCUUAGUUCUAAGUGUAUUGUAUUUCGAUUUUUAUGGUGUUCUGAAGGCAAUUCCUAAUGAAAGUCUAUAAUAAACCUAUGGAUUUUAGUAGUUCUGUAUCCAACUGAAACCUUGUAAUUUGAUCCAAGCUAGGUCCUUCUUACGAACGCUUGAUGUUUGCUUAGUUGCAUGAGUAAGACUUAGUAGACCUUCAAGUCUAAUGGGCCUGACGUAAGCCCCCUUUUGUUAAUGUGAUUAUAGUAAUUUUGGUUUCUGGGAAAAUUUUGACCUCGAUGCAGGUCUACCCCACAUCAUUGUAAGGAAAAGUUUUGACAGCAAAUCAAUCCCCCGAUUACUCGCAAGGUUGAGCUUACACCUAGAAUAGAGUAGCACCAACGGAUACUCAAGAACUUAAUCUACCAGGUCUUGUGAGCAGUAUGAACUCUACUCACGAUGAUCCGUCCCUUACGAUGCCCGAGACAAAGUCGAUGCACCUUGCAGCUCUGCCAAUUGACGCUUGGCUACAACCAUUCUCUCUUCCAGUGCCGUGUGUCUACCCUGUUAUCCUUUUGUCUCCGUCCGAGUGGCGAUAAAAGUCCCCAUGAAGUUGGUUUCUGAAAUAGUAGCUUCUUUCCAAGACUCAAGUUUGUGAUAUGGUAGCGUCUGUAGUAGCAUGCAGUUCCUGGAAUUGAUUGGCAGUCUCCCUAUUUUGAUCCCCGAUGUUCGCUAUCUGUCAAGUCUUCGCCGGGAGGGAUCUGUCAGUCGGUCCCCCGUGUUUGAGAUCAUAGCAACCUUGUUGGUCUCCAAAUGGUGAUUGUUGCCAUUGUUGUCGAUAAUAACCCUCGAUCACAGUUACCCAACGGGGCACAGGUCUGAUAUAGUCGAAACGGUUCUCGGGAACCCUGGCUAUGUAUGGAGGGUUGAUCACCUCCGGUUCCUCUUCUAAUUCUUCCUCGUCUUCAUCUUCACUCGUGAUUAUUUUGAUUUCCUCAUCUUCAGAUUCUUCUUCCUCGUUUUCCACGGGUUCUUCAUUGGGAUCUUCUUCAGGUUCUUCUCCUAACCAUCCACCAUUUCCCUGGUUGGGAAGGUAGGGGUCGCCUGGUAAGUAGAAUCUUGCUAUGCUAUAUGUGCGACAAUAGGAGGGGUAGGAAACAUAUGUUAGUCGUAUUCCUACAAAUACUUAUGGGUGUUUGAUCCUCAUUAGUUACUUCUAUAAUGACAUAAUGCAUACCAAUUACAUAUAACAAGAUAUGAUAGACCUUCAAAUAAGUGAUCCUACCCUACGUCCACAUCCAAACAAGGAAAAGGAGGUAAGGAAAUGACCACAGAUUCUAAUUCUAUGAUCUCUAAGUGAUAUAUAACUUUAGAGUAUCCACUUAGUGACUAUAGACCUAUUAUUAGGGAUCUAUUUAGUUUUCACAUAAGCUAUGAUAUUAAAAAAAUACUCCUAUAGUAUUUUAAAUGUUAUGUUUGGUUCUUAAUAACUUUCUUGUAUGGAAAGUGUUUUAUUUAUUUUUAUUUUUUUUAGGCUUGUUGCUCACUAAGACCAUGCCCCGGCAUACCAUAGUCACACCUCGGAUAGAUAUAGUUGAUUAGGCUAUAUUCAUCCCAAGUCUGAUUAGAUAUCCCAAGGUCUACUCGUAGUGUCCAACUCCUCAUUUUACUUUUGUGUUUUCCUUAGACGUGAUACUAUACUGGUAUGCAUGUAUGUAUUUAUACUUUUAACAAGAAACUAUUUAAAUCUGAAAGUAUAAUUAUUUGAAAACAUUUAAAUCAGAGACUUUAGUCCCAAUGCAUUUAUAGUUUGUAUAUCUUAUGUGGUUCGAUAUACAUAGUUCACUAUAAACAAUGCUCUGAUACCAAUCUGUCACACCCCCAAACCAAGGAUGGCGGAAAUGUCCGAGGGUGGCGGACUUCAUGUAUAGUAUCAUAACAGCGAGUAUAAUAGUGAUCAAAACAAUACAACAAAUCAUAAAUAUAAUCGGAAAAGAAUUACAUAGUUUCAAGUGUUACAUAUUUCAAUGAUUGAUUACAACAUGAUAUGAAAAAUAGUUGUUCAACACCGUAGCGUACCAUCCUCAAAAGCUUGUGGUUACCUGGUUUCGUUGAUUCCCUGAGAAUACAAGCAGUUUUGAAAAAGUGUCAACAAUUAAGUUGAUGAGUUCAUAAGCUUUUUAGAUGAAGAGUUUGGAAACCGAUCUUUGUAAUGAGUUGUGUGUUACCAAGAAAAAAUCCAAUAUUUUCCUUACGAGAGUGAUGUGUAGCCUUAAAUACCAAGACCAAAAUGUAUAAGUAAUAUCCAUGCUUAUUGAUAUAAAAAGUGAUUUUAAAUCAAAAUAAAACCCUUUUUGAUUUGAGAAAAUCCCCGUAAAUUUUAUGUGUUGUUAACUCCCUAUGUGAUUCGCUAUAACCAUACUAUGACUAAUGAACCUGCCACGAUGUUUCUCAGGCGUCGAAAAAGAUAAUGACACUUGUCACCUCAGACUUGCUAGUCUAGCUGUUACAUGCAACUCAGGUUUGGGUUUGUCAGACCCAAUAUAGAUCUAUACACAACUAUCACGUUCUCCCUAAAAGAGACUCUUGUUAUAACUACCAGAAAUUUUAACCUGUACUCUGGGAGUACUGAGAAGAAUGUCUCACAAUUUAUGAUAACAUGUUUACGUGUAGUGUGCGUGAAAAUAAAACCUUUUCCCAUGGAAAUAAAACUUCCGAAAUUUGUUUGUUGUGUUAAUGGGAACAUGUUUAUAAUGUAUAUGAAACAUAAACUAUACUUACCAUAGUUUAUCAUAAAUGUUUGUAAUGUCUACGAAACAUAAACUAUACCUAUUAUAGCUUAUAAAAUACAUUUUGUAAUGGUAGAAAUCCUUUUUACAUAUGAUGUAAACCUCUGUAAUAGGUAAAAGAAAUUUAAUAUAACCAACAUGUAUUUAUAUAUGAUAAUACACACCUUGCUCAGCAAGUUACAAGGUGUAAAUGAGUUAUCAGUAAUUUGCUAGUGUUAUAUUUUCUGUUCCUGUUUUGGAAUAAUUAUAGAAAAAUCAUACAGAGUCGAAAAAUAAAUCUGUAAAAUUUGAGAGUUUAUAAAAUGUGUUUAGUUUGUCCUUAAAUUUUAUUUUGAUUGUUAAAAGUCUCUAACUGGUAUUAAAAUGUUCAUAUUCACUGACUGGUCCAAAUACGUAGCUACAGUGAUAAACAGUUUUGUAAAAAUCACCAUAAAUAGUAGAAAAAUCGUAUGGACAUGUGCAAGUAGUCAUUUUAAAGGUAUUAACCUGAAAUAUUUUCAUCUAUUAUAGUUUUGAAAAAUAAAAUGUUUAACUAGCCCAAAACAAGCCGUGUAUGAACAUUAACUUUUCUGUUGAAAGCUGAUGUUUGAGUUUAGUUGUGUUCUUGGUGUUUUAACUUGUAUUCCCCACAUUAAAACUUAAGAAAAUCACGAAAAGAUAGGAGUAUGAACUCACCUUAUGUGAUUUCAGUGGAUGGAUGUUGAAGAAGGGAAGUGUUCAACUCAAGAACACUUAGAAAACGCCUUGAAGAUUCGAAGAUCUAACACGAAUAUGAUGAUGUUUGUUGUAAGGCAUCCAUGAUUUUAGUAGAAAGAAAGUGAAAUAAUCAUGUGAAGGAUAAUAUUACUUACCAAAAGUAGAUGAAGAACUUGAAAAUCAGCCCUUGAAUCUCGAAUUUUAGAGAGAGAAAUGAGAGAGAAUGGAGUUUGUUCUUUUGUGGAGAAUGAGAGAAGAGUGAGGAGAGAUAAGAGUUUUCUAGACUUUGACCAAGAGUGUGUCUGGAAUUACGGUGGGAAAAGGACAAUGAUUGACUAGGUAUGGUGGAAUUGUGACUGGGGAUGGUCAUGGAGUGGGUAUAGGAGGUUGCUUGUGUUACACACUAAGGUAAAGUCAACACUCAACCGUAAGUAUCUUAUCCAAGAGAUAUUAUUCUUAGGCAAUGAUUUUCCUCAAAAUAUGAUUAAAAUAUGAAUGUUUAGGGUCUCUUAUGUUAAAGUACAAGUUUGGGUGAAAAUCCCGUGUUAAAAUCACGAAAAAUGGGCUUAAAAUGCUAAAAGGAUUGAAAACCGGGAAAUUGGGGCGAAUCUGCAAAGUCAGGAACGAAGGUACGGUCCUUGUGCUUAGAACCGAGGGUAGGUUCGGUCUAUGGCUAGGAACCGAGAGCUGGCUGAACCGAGAAAUUUCUCAUGCGAAAGGUGUUGCAUGAGAAGCGAAGGCGAAGUCAGGCGUGAAAGGCGAAGGCGAAGUGAGCAAAAGGAGCUUCGGUCCAAAGGUCUGAUCCGAGCCGAAGGUGCUAGGAGCCGAACCCGAAGGUGACUUCGGUCCUAUAAGAGGUUUCGGUUCCUUAUGGGAAGUCUCGGUCCAUGGCAGUUUCGGUCCUCCUUGGUUUGGUUCUUGCUAGUUUCGGUCCAAGAGGCUUCUUACGGGUUUCGCUUCUUAGGGUUUCGGCCCUAAGAAGGUUCGGUCCUAAGAGGCUGUUUUUCGUGUAGACUUCCGUUUUCGAGCUGUUUUCGUCUAAUUCGAGGGUCGGGAUGCCCUAACUGAUCAUAAGAAGUUGAGAGCGAUUUUGAGAGAGAUUUGGGAGAGAUUUCACACACUUGGAGAGAUUUCUCAUACAGAGAGAGAUUUGGGAGAGAUUUCACAUUCUUGUAGAGAUUUCUCAGACAGAGAGAGAUUUAACAUUCUUAGAGAGAUUUGGGAGAGAUUUCACAUUCUUGGAGAGAUUUCUCAUACAGAGAGAGAUUUGGGAGAGAUUUCACAUUCUUGGAGAGAUUCAGGAGAGAUUUCACAUUCUUGGAGAGAUUUCGCAUAGAGAGAGAUAGAGCGAAAGUGAUUUAGAGAGGCUUUAUUUGCGACUUUUGCGAGUGUUUAAUUUCGAAAGGCAAGGUUUGUAACCCCCGUUAAGCCUCGUUAUGAACUUUAUACACCCUCGAAGGGUAUGUAUUAAUAUUUUUAUCGAGUAGUUCCAUCUCUUACCCUAAUUUUGGGUGUGGAUUUUCUGAACAUGUGAAACUUCUAAGCGAUGCUUUGUAUUAAGAUGGUGUAUUGUACAAUAGUAAAUAUAAGGUAAAACCUAAUUUACAAGGGUUAAUUGAAUUGACCGGUUUUACUUGUUGACUUUAUUUGAAUUUGACUUGACCAGAAAUUGAUGGUUGUCAUAGUGGCUAACCCUCCUUAAUUCCCUUAAUUUCCUUUUUUUUUGCUUUCUACUUGGACCGAGAGAGGGAAAAGGAAAAGAAUGGUUUGGGCCUUCUAUGCUUGAGUCCUUUAAUAUGAGGCACAAUUUGAUGGUUUUCGGCCCAUUGGGCCUUUAAAGUAGUUCACGGCCCAAAUCUUACAUUAAAGAAUGGAUUUGAGUCCAUUAAGGCAAAUUGAAUUUGUCAUGGCCCAACAAGACCCAUUAAAGGUAAACUAGUCGAUUUUAGACUUGCAAUGCCCUAAAAAGGUUAAGUCUCAUGAAAGUGGGUCCAAUGAGAGCCCAUUUAAGAGUUCUAAGCCCAAAAUAGUCAAAUUGGAAGCUUAUUGGUCCAUAGGCCCAAUAAGGAAAUCCUAGUCCAUAUUGGACUUAAACUGCGAUUUCUAGGGUUUCCAACAUUGUGUUGACUAUUUGAGUGUUUGUAUAGAGUGUUUGAUGGAAUUUUGUAGUCAUUAAAUAAAUAUCAUGCAUGCUUUCAAAUUUUAGUUACAAUGUUAUCCUUGUUUAAUGUUUACAAAGCAUUAGAAUUCCUAGUUGUGACAUCAUCCCCCGUUAAAGGGAAUUUCAUCCCGAAAUUCUUUUUGAAGCUAGAUUUGAGAAUGCGAGAGUAGGUGAGGGUACUUUUGCUUCAUCUGGUCUUCGCGUUCCCAUGUGAAUUCCGGUCCAUGUUUUGCGUUCCACCGAACUUUUACAAUCGGGAUGCGACUUUGUUAGUACUCUUCACUUCCCUCUCCAUAAUUUCAACCAAUUCUUCGAUGAACAGGAGAUUCUCGUUGAUUUCGAUUUCUUCCAAUGGGAUGAUGAGAGUUUCAUCGGAUAAGCAGUUCUUCAAAUUGGUAACAUGGAACACGGGUUGUACACUGCUGAGCUGGGCAGGUAGCUGCAGUCUAUAAGCCACUGGACCGAUUCGAGCAAGAAUCUCGAAUGGUCCAAUGUACCAACACCCGAUCCCCGACUUGAAAUUCCAAGGGCUUUCGUCGUUUAUCAGCGUAGCUCUUCUGUCGGUCUCGUGAAGCUUGUAGUCGAGCUCUGAUUUGAAUUAUCUUCUCUGUCGUUUCGCGUAUGAUUUCUGGUCCUGGUAAUGCAUUGUUUGGUGUCUGUCCUUUUGCUAGCUGAGUGUCACCUACCUCAACCCAACACAACGGUGAUCUACAUUUACGCCCAUGUAAUGCUUCAAAAGGAGCAACUUUGAUGCUUGAGUGAUAACUGUUGUUGUACGAAAAUUCAAUUAACGGUAAGUGGGUGACCCACGACCUUCUAAAGUCUAUCACACAUGCGUGAAGCAUAUCUUCAAGCGUUUGAAUGGUUCGCUCACUUUGACCAUCCGUUUGUGGGUGGUAGGCAGUGAUCAUGUCGAGUUGUGUUCCCAUAGCUUUCUGAAGUGAUUGCCAGAAGUGUGAAGUGCAUCUACUAUCUCGAUCUGAGAUGAUAGAUAUUGGUAUUUCGUGGAGUCUCACGAUUUCCUUGAUGAAGGUUCUUGUCAAUCGUUCCAUCUUGUAUGAUUCCUUAAUUGGCAGGAAAUGAGCGGAUUUUGUCAACCUGUCGACUAUUACCCAUAUGGUAUCCAAUCCCUAUAUAGUAUUGGGUAAUUUGGUAACAAAGUCCAUAGUAAUCCUUUCCCAGUUCCACUCGGGUAUUAUCGGUUGUUGUAAUAGUCCCAAGGGCUUCUAAUAUUCUACCUUCGCUUUAUCGCAAGUAAGGCAUUUGCUAACGUAGGUGGCAAUUUCUGCCUUCAUGUUAGGCCACCAAUAAUGUUGCUUGAUAUCCAAGUACAUUUUAUCUGAACCCGGAUGGAUGGAGUAUCGUGUCUUAUGGGCUUCAUUCAUGACUACCUCUCUGAAUCCAUGAAGUUUAGGAAUCCAAAUUCGGUUCAUGAAAUAAUGUGCUCCGUCCUCCUUAACUUCGAAGUCUUUUUCCAUUCCUCGUAACGCUUCGCUUGUUUUGUUCUCUGCCUUCAUGGCAUUGAACUAGGCUACUUUGAUUUGCGAGGACAGAUGAGAUUGAAUGUUUAUUGAAAGAGUCUUCACACGACGAUCUGAGUAUUCUUUCCGAGUCAAGGCAUCAGCUACCACGUUAGCCUUGCCUGGGUGGUACAUGAUUUCGCACUCAUAAUCGUUUAGCAGCUCAACACACCUUCGCUGCCUCAUGUUCAACUCCUUUUGAUUUAAAAUGUGUUGGAGGCUUUUGUGAUCGGUGAAAAUGGUUCACCUUGUACCAUAUAGGUGUUGGAUAAGGUGUCUAAGUCCAUAACUUAUUUCUGGUAUGUACUUGACCCGACCCGGCAUGGUCCAUUUGGGUUGCAUGGCACCAUGCAAUUGGAUAGACUAAAUGAGAGAAAUAACAUUUGGAGAUUAUUAAUAUAUUAUAAGUUCUAAUAUAUUAAUAAUAUUAUUUGAUUAGUUUGAUCAAUAAUUAAUUUAGAAUUAAUUAAGUGGUCAAAAGAGAACUAAUUAAAUAUAUGGGUUGAUUAUGUAAAUCAUCCAUAUCUUGUAUAGUGGGCUAAGAGGCUCCAUGGAUUAUCAAGUUGGGUUCUACCCAUAGGAUGCUCCAUGGAUGCUCCAUGGGAGUUACAAACCCAUGGGUCAUGGAAAUGAAGAGUCAUGACACAUUAGGGUUUACAUGGUGUAACCCUAGAUGUGUCAACACUAUAUAAGAAUCAUAUUCUCCACCAAAAUGGGACACACUAAGAAAACAAGAGGGCUUGGCCGAUUUCAAGAAGUGUGUGUUCUCUCAUAAGUUUUUCCAAGAGCAUUUGGUGUUGUGUGAAGCAUUUGAGGCAUCACACUUGGGGUGCUAGGCUCACAAGGUUUCAAGGAACACAAGCAACAACAAGGUAAGUUAUUCUAUCUAUGAUUCAAGUUAAAAUUGUUCCCCAUGUAUGCUAGAUAGGAAUAUAACCUUGGAAUUCAACUUUGCAUGAUAAUUAGACAAACAUAGAUCCAAGGUUAUUAGGGUUGCAUGUACACUUAGGAAGUGUUAGAAUGCUCAAAACCCAUCAGUGGUAUCAGAGCCUAGGCUUGUUUGUUUGUUAUUUGUGCUUAAAAGUUGAAGAAAGUCGAAAAUUCUGCUGUCUGACUGAUGGACUCGGCGAGUCCAUGGGGAGGACUCGUCGAGUUCAUGUGUAUCUUCAACCUACUCGGCGAGUAGGUUUAUGCACUCGGCGAGUAGGGUCGACAGAGUGCAGAAUUUCGACUUGAGUUGCUGGAAAUGGAUUAGAAUCAUUACCCUAAAAUGUUUUGGUACUUGAAAACUUAUUUUAGAAGGUGUAAUGUCUUUUCUAACUCAUUUACAACAACUAGUUAUCAAAAUUACAAAGAUUAAAUGUGAUUUUGAUUCUUGAAAGUGUUCAUAUUCAUAUUCUUGUUCUUAUGAUGUUUAGAUGAUCAUAGGAAUUAUUUGUAACCUAUGUGGUAGAUUAAUUCAUGAUCAUAAUGUGUUUUAAUGGAGUCCAUAACUUGUCCUCAAGUUAUGGAAAACCAAAAGUCUCUUGGAUUAAAAACCAUUAAAAGAACACAAGAGUUAGGAAAAAUGAAAAGUCCUCAUUUUAUUACUCUAUUAAACUCAUAAGUUACAAGAAAUGAAAAGUUUUGAAAGUUUACAAAACUUGCCCUCAAGUUUUGGAACAAGUAAAGUUAAGUUAAAACUUUAGUUCCAACCCCUAGAAUUUUAAAAGUUAAAAUUCAACCCUUAUACUUAUAUUAUUAUGAUUUAAUAAUUAUAUAUAUAUGUAUAAGAACAAAGUCGUCUUACCGCUAGUACGCCUCAUUCACGAAGCCGGUCUAUAAGGUGGGUAUAAGGUUGUUGCCUAUAAAAUGGUGACUUAAUGGGUGUCCACUCUCACCCACCGCUUGCUUGAUCGGUGGAGGGUCGUUAGCCGAACGGGUAAGACAAGGACUUAUUAAUUCUCAUUCAAAGUAUGAUGAAUAUUAUAAAGUAACUAAAUGUUUUAUUAAAUUCCCAAUCUUAGUUACUUUAGGAAAAAUGUGAAUAAGGUGCUAUUCCAUGAAAUUACACUUUACACUUUGAUUAAGUCGUUGGUGGAGCGUGUGUGGUUAACCGGCACACUAACUUGGACUUAACAAGGUAGGUAAAGGGUGACUUAGGGUUUAUUAUAGUAUCGAUGGAGCGUGUGUGGUUAACCGGCACAUCGAUUGAGUGAUAAACUUUAAGGGUACCAAGUGAUUUGCAUGGUUACUUCACACCUCGUUUUGUGAUCCUCGGUAUCCCAGUCACAAAACUUGGAGGGCACACUCGAGAUUGAAACAUGCCUUUGAAAAGUUCAUUGAAUCUCAAAGAAUCUAGGAAUUUCUAAGAACCAUUCAAAAACCUAAUACUAAAAUAUUGCGGUUUUCGUGGUGGAAAUUGGUGAAUCGUCAUUCACCUACCUUUCAAAUAUGAUAUAGCUUAGAUUACGGCAUACCUCUUCUAAGUUAUAUUAUAUUGUGAUUGGAUCCUAGCCUUAAUAUUACAUUUGGGUGUUUUAUUAAGGACUCUCUUAUAUCUAAACUAAUCUUGUCCUCUUUCCUUCAGAUGUCUUUCAACAAUGCUUCUGGCUCUAAUCCUAAUGGCUCCUUUACCCUUAUGAACUUGUGUGGGAAAGUCACCUUUGAUGGAUCCAACUUCAAUGAGUGGAUCAGAAACAUCAGGAUGAUUACCCGCUACGAGGACAAAGAAUAUGUCCUUGACAAGGAGCUUAAGGAGAUUGAUGAGUCCACUGCAACUCCUCAGGAGAUCGCUGAAUUUCGGGCACAUGAAAGGGAUGCUACGAAAGUGGCUUGCAUCAUGAUGGCCACGAUGACAGCGGAACUCCAAAAGUCUUAUGAGGAUUUCUACCCUUAUGACAUGCACCAAGAUUUGAUGGAAAGAUACCAUCAAAGUGCAAGACAAGAGAGGUAUGAAAUCAUCUGCUCCAUGAUAACAACCAUGAUGAAGGACGGGGAAUCCGUCACGAGCCACAUGCAGAAAAUGCAAAGGUAUGUGGAUCGUUUGCUGAAGCUUAAUGUGAACUUCCCGGAGGAUCUUGCAAUAGAUAUUAUUUUGCAUUCCUUACCAUCGUGCUAUGAUCAAUUCCGCAUGACAUAUCACAUGAACAAGGAAGAAGUCACCCUCAGCAAACUUCAGGGACUUCUCAAGACCGCAGAAACAGGUCUUAAGGGGAAGUCGGUUGCUAUCACUCCUACUCAAAACUCUACUCCGGUUUUGGCAAUCGGGAAAAGUCGAGGGAGGAAGAGAAAGAGCUCUUCUAAGGGUACCAAGGCUCGGACCCUUGAUGGCUCUUCUUCAAGUGGAACCAAGAAAGGUUUCGUUACUCCUUCUUCUGACCCAAAAGAGGCUGAAUGCUUCUAUUGCCAUGAAAAAGCUCAUUGGAAGCGGAACUGCCCAAAAUACCAGCAAGAUGUGAAGGAUGGGAAAGUUAAACCCAACCAUGCAGGUAUUUACACUAUCAUUUCUAAUAACUCACCCCAUUCUAAUUCUUGGGUCCUUGAUACCGGGUGUGGUAUUCACAUUUGUUGUGACUUGCAGGGACUAAGAAGAAGUGAGGAUGUGGAGCAAGGAAGGAUAAACUUGAUCAUGGGGAAUAGGAAAGCUAUACCUGUUACCAAGAUUGGAGUUUAUACUUUAUCGCUAAGUAGUGGGUUUAGUUUAGAUUUGAAUAAGUGUUGUUAUUCGCCAGGAAUGGCAAGAAAUAUUAUUUCCUUUCAUGCUUUGUACAAACAAGGGUUUACCUUUUCAUUUAAUAAUGAAGUUGGUUCUAUAGAUGUUUUCUAUAAUAAUGUCUUUUAUUUUAAAGCAUUACCUUGUGAUGGUGUGUAUGAAGCUGUAUCUGUUGUAGAUAACUUGGGAAAUAAUGUUUUGUGUAUUGAUUCUACUAAUAAUAACUUGGAUAAAGCAUCUUUAUGGCAUUGUCGUCUUGGACAUAUAAGCAAGAAACGCAUAGGCCAACUCCAAAAGGAUGGAGUCUUGGAGUCGUUUGACCUAAAGUCAGAUGAUAGUUGCGAAUCAUGCUUACUUGGAAAAAUGACAAAGUCACCCUUCACAGGUUCGUGUGAGAGGGGUGAAGGUUUGUUGGACCUUAUACACACGGAUGUGUGUGGACCAUUCAAACAUGCCACAAGGGAUGCUAAUCGUUAUUAUUUGACUUUUACUGAUGAUUAUAGUAGAUAUGGAUAUGUCUACUUGAUCAAGCAUAAGUCAGAGACUUUCGAGAGGUUUAAGGAAUUUAAACAGGAAGUCGAGAAUCAAUUGGGCAGGAACAUUAAGAUGCUUCGAUCCGAUCGUGGUGGUGAGUAUCUUAGUUCAGAGUUCCUCGACUAUCUAAGGGAAUGUGGGAUAGUCUCACAAUUGACACCUCCCAGGACACCACAGUUGAAUGGUGUGGCUGAGAGGCGUAAUCGAACCUUGUUAGAUAUGGUUCGUUCCAUGAUGAGUCGAGCUACGCUACCAAUCUCAUUCUGGGGGUAUGCCUUAGAGACUGCCGCCCAUAUUCUUAAUCUAGUCCCUACAAAGAAAGUUGCCAAAACUCCUCACGAGAUGUGGACUGGUAAAGUACCUAAACUAGACCACAUCAAGAUUUGGGGUUGCGAGGCUUUCGUGAGACGCGAGACUCAUGAUAAGCUCGAACCUCGAAGCGAGAGGUGUAUUUUCAUCGGUUACCCACAGCGAUCCUUUGGUUACCUCUUCUACAGACCUAGUGACAAUGUGGUCUUUGUAGCAAGAAGAGGAGUCUUUCGAGAAAGAGAGUUUAUAAGCCAAGGAGACAGUGGGAGGCAAAUUGAUCUUGAAGAAAUUCAAGAAUCAAGCGGUGAAGGAACUUCAAACUCUAGCCCUCAACUUGAGGAGGAAACUCCUGUUGAGCCAAUUGACAAAUCUGUACCUCUGAGACGUUCCACGAGAGUUAGGAGUGCACCUGAGCAUUACUAUGGAUUCCAUAUUACUGCAGAAGGUGAGACACUUAUUAGUGAUGAGACACUAGUAAGUCAAGAUGACCCUAACAGCUACGAGGAAGCCAUGGCAGGCCCCGAGUCUGCUAAAUGGAAAGAGGCUAUGGAUAGCGAGAUACAAUCCAUGUAUGACAAUCAAGUUUGGAACUUGGUUGAAAAUGUACCAGGUCGUAAGACAGUAGGGUGCAAAUGGGUCUUCAAGAAGAAGACCGACAUGGAUGGUAAAGUACACACUUAUAAGGCUAGACUGGUUGCAAAGGGCUUCUCUCAAAUUCCUGGAGUGGAUUAUGAUGAGACCUUUUCUCCGGUAGCCAAGAUUAAGUCUAUUCGGGUUCUGUUAGCCAUAGCUGCAUUUCAUGACUAUGAAAUAUGGCAGAUGGAUGUCAAAACCGCUUUCCUUAAUGGAAAGUUGGCUGAAGAUGUUUACAUGAGUCAGCCAGAGGGUUUUGUCAGCAACGAGUACCCUAAUAGAGUGUGUAAGCUUGAGAAAUCCAUUUAUGGAUUGAAGCAAGCACCUCGCAGAUGGAAUCUUUGCUUUGAUGAAAAGGUCAAGGAAUUUGGCUUUUCUAGGAGUGAAGAUGAAUCUUGUGUGUAUGUCAAGGCUAGUGGGAGUAUAGUUAGCUUUUUGGUAUUGUAUGUGGAUGACAUACUACUCAUAGGAAACGACAUUCCAACCCUGCAGGAAGUAAAGUCCUGGCUUGGGAAGUGUUUCGCUAUGAAGGACCUUGGUGAAGCUGCCUAUAUUCUAGGGAUAAGAAUCUUGAGAGAUCGGAGUAAAAGACUAAUUGGACUUAGUCAGAGUACCUACUUGGAUAAGGUGCUGAAGAGAUUCAGCAUGCAGGAUUCCAAGAAAGGAGAGUUACCCAUCCAGAGUAACACCAGAUUGAGUAAGACACAAAGCCCUAGCACUGAGGCUGAGAUAGCAGAAAUGAGUCGAACACCUUACGCUUCGGCUGUAGGAUCGAUCAUGUAUGCUAUGACGUGUACUCGACCCGAUGUAGCUUUUGCCUUGAGCAUGGUUAGCAGGUAUCAGGCGAACCCUGGCAAGGCACACUGGACUGCGGUAAAGAAUAUCCUCAAGUACCUACGGAGGACUAAGGACUGGGUCCUUACCCUCGGUGGGAGUGAUGACUUGAGAGUUGUAGGGUAUAGUGAUGCUAGCUUCCAGACUGAUAGGGAUAAUUUCCGCUCUCAGUCGGGCUGGGUCUUUACCCUAAACGGAGGAGCAAUUUCUUGGAAGAGUUCCAAGCAAGAGACAGUGGCAGAUUCUACUUGUGAAUCAGAGUAUAUUGCAGCUAGUGAAGCAGCAAAGGAGGCGAUAUGGCUGAAGAACUUCAUUGGAGACCUUGGAGUUGUACCAGCUAUUAAAGAGCCAAUGGAAAUUUUCUGUGAUAGUGAAAGUGCUGUUGCCUUAGCCAAGGAACCAAGGGAUCAUGGGAGAUCCAGACACAUCGACAGAAAAUACCAUUUCAUUAGACAUCGGAUCGAAGAAGGACUCCUCGUGGCAAAGAGGGUAUCAUCGGAUGAGAACCCAGCAGAUCCCCUCACGAAGGGACUGAGUAGGGUUAAGCAUCUCCAGCAUGCUCGGAGCAUAGGGCUGAAGGAUGAUAUAAGUUUUAGUAGUUAGAUAACCCAGAAAUUUGUAAAGUGUAAUUGACAUUUGAUGAUGAAUAAAAGGUGUUUUAUUUAUGAGUAAAGUGUUGCUAUCUCUUGUCGAUCGUUUACUAUAUUUCUUUUGCAUGUUUUGACUUCCAGAAUAAUUUUGUUUGGUAUAACAUAUUAUUCAAACCUCCACAGUCGGUCAUAUGUUGGAAGUAGAUAUGAAUCAAGACUGUCAUGUUUGGUUGUAGAGGUCUUGGACAAGGCUACAACAAUCAUGAGUGCUCAUAAGUUCUGAGCAUUGGACUCAACCCACGCUCACUGGAAUCACUUCAUGGAAUUCUAUCUCGAGUGAUCGUGAGACGGUAAUAUCAUAUAAGUCUUCAAACCUAGAGAUAUGAUUUGUUACUUACAAGUUGGUUAUGCAUUGACUGUACGAAACCGCAUUGGUAACUCGAUGUUAUAAAACGUACUUUUGUGUGUAAUUCAAUGAGUGGUAGAACAAACAUAUGAGUCGAAGUUUAUCUGUUCCUUCUUGGAUUAGAAGCUGAUAUCUGGGCCCCUCGAUGAUUUUGUUUUGACCCAUGUACCGGGCCCGGUCAGAACUAAGUUGAUGUGUUCAAUUAAGUUCUAUGUCAAACAAAUCGGAAAUCGGGAAACAAAUGCUGGACAAUAAGCAAGACAAUGUUCCAUGUAUUUGUCCGGCUGAUAUCUAGAACGGAGGAUUAUAUGAUCACUUAUCUUAAAUGGCGUACCAUCAUCUUCUCAGUUCCGAGAGACCUUGAAAGAGCUACGAUUGCCGGUCGGUUCCUGAAGUACUAGAGAUAUAGUUAUUAGACUUAUCCAAGUGGGAGACUGUUGGAUAAGGUGUCUAAGUCCAUAACUAUUUCGGGCUUGUACUUGACCCGACCCGGCAUGGUCCAUUUGGGUUGCAUGGCACCAUGCAAUUGGAUAGACUAAAUGAGAGAAAUAACACUUGGAGAUUAUUAAUAUAUUAUAAGUUCUAAUAUAUUAAUAAUAUUAUUUGAUUAGUUUGAUCAAUAAUUAAUUUAGAAUUAAUUAAGUGGUCAAAAGAGAACUAAUUAAAUAUAUGGGUUGAUUAUGUAAAUCAUCCAUAUCUUGUAUAGUGGGCUAAGAGGCUCCAUGGAUUAUCAAGUUGGGUUCUACCCAUAGGAUGCUCCAUGGGAGUUACAAACCCAUGGGUCAUGGAAAUGAAGAGUCAUGACACAUUAGGGUUUACAUGGUGUAACCCUAGAUGUGCCAACACUAUAUAAGAGUCCCAUUCUCCACAAAAUUGGCUACACAAGUUGAACACUAAGAAACUAGAGGGCUUGGCCGAUUUUGAGAAGUGUGUGUUAUCUCAAGAGUCUUUCCAAGAGCAUUUGGUGUUGUGUGAAGCAUUUGAGGCAUCACACUUGGGGUGCUAGGCUCACAAGGUUUCAAGGAACACAAGCAACAACAAGGUAAGUUAUUCUAUCUAUUAUUCAAGUUAAAAUUGUUCCCCAUGUAUGCUAGAUAGGAAUAUAGCCUUGGAAUUCAACUUAGCAUGAUAAUUAGACAAACAUAGAUCCAAGGUUAUUAGGGUUGCAUGUACACUUAGGAAGUGUUAGAAUGCUCAAAACCCAUCAAUAGGUAGUGUCUCCAAAUCUUCAAGGCAAAAACCACAGCUCCCAAUUCGAGAUCCUGAGUGGUAUAAUUCACCUCAUGUGUCUUUAGUUGUCGGGACGAAUAAGCUAUCACCUUCUCAUGCUGCAUGAGUACAAAGCCUAAAUCCUGAUUCGAAGCAUCGCAGUAAACCACAAAAUCUUCAAUUCCCUCUGGAAAUGAUAGUACUGGUGCACUACAGAGUGCUCGUUUCAGAGUUCGGAAGGCAACCUCCUCCUUUUCUGUCCAUUAAAUGGUACGCCCUUUUAUGUAAGCAUGGUAAGCGGCUUGGCUAUUUUGGAGAAGUUCUGAAUGAAUCUUCUGUAAUAGCCUACGAGGCCCAAAAAUUGAUGAAUUUAUGUGGGUGUCGUUGGGACUGCCAAUCCUUUAAUGGCUUUGAUCUUAGAGGGGUCUACGUGUAUCCCUUCUUGACUGAUAACAUGACCUAAAAAGUUUACGCUACGGAGCCAGAACUCACACUUAUAGAGUUUUACGUAUAACUUUUCGGUUCGUAGGGUUUCCAAGAUUUGUCGGAGAUGUCGGCUAUGCUCCUCUUUGCUUUGAGAAUAGACUAGGAUAUCGUCGACGAAAACAAUAACAAAGUAGUCGAGGAAUGGUCGGCAGAUCCAAUUCAUUAGGUCCAUGAAUGUAGCAGGGGCAUUCGUUAGACCGAAGGGCAUUACAAUAAAUUCUUAAUGUCCAUAGCGAGUUUGGAAAGUAGUCUUGAGGAUAUCCUCCUCCCAGACCUUGAGUUGGUGAUAUCCGGAUCGCAGAUCUAUCUUAGAGAAGUAGUUUGCUCCUUGAAGAUGGUCGAAUAGAUCGUCGAUUCGUGGAAGUGGGUAGCAAUUUUUUAUAGUAAGCUUAUUCAGUUCUCUGUAAUUGAUGCAUAUCCUAAAGGAUCCAUCCUUUUUCUUAACAAAGAGGAUCGGAGAUCCCCAGGGUGAGAAGCUAGGUCGGAUGAAUCCUUUGCUCUAGAGUUCGCUAAGUUGGCUUGACAGUUCUUGCAUCUCCGCAGGAGCCUACCAAUAGGGUGAUUUGGCAAUGGGUGUAGCUCCCGGCACAAGGUCAAUUCGGAACUCGACUUGUCUUUCUGGGGGUAUCUCCGAAAGAUCUUCAGGAAAAACAUCCGGAAAAUCGCAAGCUACUGGAAUGUCUCAAAUAUUGACCUCUUCCUUGGACUUAUCCACAAUGUGAGCCAGAAACGCCAAGUCCUUCUUUUGUAGACACUUAUGUGCCUUAAUACAUCUCUUUAGGGUUAUCAUUCCCCUUGUGCCAUUAAAGGUUCGUGGCUUGGCAUUGGUGAAAUCUUUGGAGGAGCAUGUCUUGGUAGGCCCCUGGUUCAUUCAGUUGUUUGAGCUUCCAGCCCCUUGCCCGUUGCCUCUACCAUUUUUUCCAUUGUGGAUCUGUGCCAGUGCCGCUGUGACUGCAGCAGAUACAACUGCUUGAAAUGCAACUGAGUUGAUUUUUGGUGGUAUCGGCUCGGGGUUUCCACGGGUUGGUCACUGAGGCAUCCUUUUGUCAAGGAACGGAAAGAUGUUGAGUGCCUCUAAUUUUCGUGAGUUUGUGGGCCUAUGAACUAGGUAUAUAGUAUAUACUUACGAAAUUUUUACAUAUUGACAUACCACAUGGAAAUAUAACACAUAGCAGAUAAGAACAUCACGGUAGAACACAUAUUUUUCGACUAAUAAUAUUCGUACUUUAAUACAUGAAAAUUUGCUCAAAAGAGCAUACAUAAAGUGUACAAAGUUCGGCAGUGUAACGACUCUAUGAGUAGUGUAAUCACUUAAACAUAGAGUCAAUGGUACCUAUCCUAGAUCCUAUAAGAGAGUCUUAAUACCAGUACCCGUACUAUUGAUCCUGAUCAUGCUGUAAAUUUCCUAAUGGUGGCAACUAUAUCAUAUUCCAAAAUGUUGUUCCUGCAGCUGAGCCAUCUCCGUCAUCUCUCCGAUGACUUCAUCUCGUUCUUGCUCAGCUUUCACGGCUCAUGCUUCCAUCGAAAACAACUGUUGUCGAACUGGUGGGGCAGGAUGGUCCUGGUCUAUUUCGUCGGUAGGUGAUUUGGGGGCUUCGUCUGCGUCCCCCUGCCCCUCAGUGUCGUCGUCGGUCCCCUCAAAAUCGUAAUCUGUAUCGGUGUACUCAUCGGGUCCAACGUCAUGAGCUGCUCCUUGCCCUUCCUCUAGGUCGUGUUCAAUUAUUCCAUGGGCCACCAAGGCCUGGUGAAACUGGAUGACUUGAUGCUCCUAUUCCAUGGUGACUAUGAUGGGUAACACGCAAGGAGGGUAUAUAAAUAAACUACUAUUACUCCUACGACGUUUUAGUUGUUAUAUAAAUUGAGUUUGAUGUUCUCUUCAUGGUAAUCAAAAGGGUAUGUUUUAGGUUUACCUACCAUCGCGGUCACUCCAGGGCAUGUGAUAGUUGUACUCUGGAGGAACUUUAGUUGAUCAGGCUACAUUCGCCCCUUAAUACAACUAUGAACAGUCCAGGCUUAACCGAGAUGUCAGGAUCAUCUUAUUUAAUUUGGUAUUAUAUUCAUUUUCCUAAGUCGCACAAGUAAAAGUGUUUUAUUAUUAUAUUUUAUUUGUUUUAUUCAGAGUUAUUUAGUUCCUCUUUGGGUUUAUAGUUGCAUAUCAAUGUGUGGUUAGAUAUGCUAGUUCACUAUAAACAAAGCUCUAAUACCAACUUGUCACACCCCCAAACCAGACGGCGGAAACAUCUGAGGGCUCGCAUGACUUAAAUUGAAAUAUCAUCACAAUGAAUAUACAUGAACAACACAUACAUCACCAACAUUACAUACUUCAACUGUCAUUGUUCACGUCAAGUACAUUGUUUAAACAUUACACAUCCAUAACAUAAGUUGUUUGAGAAUUAUGAAAACAUAACAUCCUAACACACUUGGUAUUGUUCUUCAGCUUACUUGUUACCUGAGAAUACAAGUUAUUUUAAAAGAUUCAACAUAUAUAAUGUUGGUGAGUUCAUAAGCAUGUUUGAUAUGAUAUUAGUUUGUAUUGUUUGUAAAACCCAGAAAAUCAGAUAUUUUUUAUGCAAAAAUUGUUUGCGAAAAGAUGCGAUGAUCCCAUAAGCGAAUGUGUAAGUGAUUUCAAAACAAGUAAAAGUUAUUUUUAUUCAAAAUUGAUUAUUGUAUUAUAGUUGUUGUGUAUAGGAGUGAAUAAUGUUGUUGCCCCGAAAAACCCGAUGUUUUCCAAUAUAAAUAGUAUGAUAGUUUUAUAUUAUUAUAUCGUCACAAUGAAUGAAUAUGUUAUUCCCUGAUUACAUAGAUGGUGUUAGAUCUCUAUGUGAAUCAUUAUAACCAUGCAUAAUAAUGACUAGUUCGUCUGUCUUGGCAUUCUAGCGAAUGUCGGAAUUGAUUUAAUUUGUCACCCUAGACUGGCCGAGUCAAACUGUAGCGAACAACUUAGGUGUGGGGGAGUCACCCCCGUAUAGAUCUAUACACAAACUCAAGCUCUCCCUCCAGGAGACUCUGUUUAUAAGUACAAACUAUGACCGUCACUUAAUAGUGUCACCCGUUAUUUCCCACUAAAUCCAACUGAAUUUGAAUAACCUUGUUUAUCAACCUAAUUUUAUGUUUACUUGAAUAACAGAGAUAAGCCUAACAGACGAAGAGAAGAGGGCAGCAAAGGCCCACUAAGCACGUAUGUUAUUAUAGGCUGUCGAGUAUGAGACGAGCAUGUUGGCCCAUCAUGCAUAUGUUUGAUUUGGACCUUACUAGCAAUACCAAUGGGCCACUGAGGCCCUAUAGCAUGGUAAAUCCAUUGAGGGUCCCUUAGGCAUGUAAUUGGGUCACAGGAGGCCCAAUAAAUAUGUGUGAACAUAUCGGGCCCGAUAAACAUGAUAUUGGGCCACAAAGGCCUAAUAACAUGUAUAGAAGGUAUUUGAGCCCAACUUUUGAAUCGCUUAUGUUUUAUCGAGUUUAAGUUCAUAUUGUUGGUAUUCGUGGUAUGUUAAAUGUUUAUUCGCAAUAACGAAAUAUUUUAACGUUUGAUUUAUAAUGAAGUUUUUAUUUUAUAUAUAUAUNAUAUAUAUAUAUAUAUAUGUAUAUUUUUAAAACCAUGCGUUAUAAACUUGGUAUUUUUAACCCCAAAAGUAAUAGUCAUUUAAUUGGCCCAAAAACAUUUAGAUUAACCAUUGUGACACCUUUUUCUAUAAAAAUGACAGCUUCAGUGUAACAUCCGGAAUUCCAGGUAGCAUAUUUUAAAUAAUUAUUUUUGCCAAGAAGAGGGACUCGAUGAGUAGACGCCUAGACUCGUCGAGUAGGAUCGCGAUUUGCUGACUGGAUUUAGUGAAGAGACUCGACGAGUCGGGGAGUCGACUCGACAAGUCCGCGCUGUGGCUAGAAACCCUAAAUCCUCGGGCAUGUGCCCUAUUUAAAGGACCUUAUGGCCCUCAUUUGUGGGAACCUUCACCUUUGAGAGCACCAGAGCACCUGGGAGCGUUGUGGGAGAGAGCCAUUUUCAUCAUUCUAAGUGUGAUUUUGCAAGAAAGAAGGAAGGAGGGCAAGCUAGGAGGGUUGAGGAGCUUAGAUCUACCACUAUUUGGUCAGAAGAGGGUGCUAGAGGUAUGAAUCUGUGCUCAAUCUCGUGUAUUUGGUGAUCUACUUGAAUCUAGGGUUUUCUUAUGCCUUCUUUAGCUUGUAUUCGAAGUAUAUGAGGUCCCUAGGUGGAAUUCUUCUUAGAUCUAGACCUAAGAGGUCCAAAGAGUCCUAUCUGCACUGCUUUAUGCUAUUCCAAUAGAUAUAUGAACCUAGGUUGCCAUUUUGGAGGCUAUUUCACCAAAAGAAGUAUUAUGGACGUUGCAUGAGUGUAAAGGACGGACCUUUACAUGAUUAUUGAGUAUGCUAAGGUCAGAUCUAUAGGUUAGAGACACAGAUCUGAACUCAAAUGGUCAUUUGAGUGUUGCCUCGGAAGGAACUCACCGAGUCCGUAAGGGGACUCGACGAGUCGAGUCGGGGUUGCCAUGGAAGGAACUCGCCGAGCCCGUAAUAGGAGGAGGCUAGGUUGGGAUAUUCGAGCAUGAGAGUUUAUCCGACUUCAUACGAGGUGAUUCUUUUCACUAUACAUUACCUAGAGUGGUAUCUAUGUUCAGACCGGAGGGUCUUAUGUGUGAUGUGUAUGCUUGAGAUUAUGUGCUUUGUGAUAUAUGUAUGCUAUAUGUUAUAUAGAACGAACUGGAGAGUCCAAUGAUUCAGACCGAACCAGAGGGUCCAACGAGCUAAGACCGGACCAGAGGGUCCAACGAGCUACGAGACUGGAGGGUCCUGCUGUGACACAUAGAUCGAAGGAUCGUACUGUGUUAUAGCCUUGAGUGGCAUAUGUGUUGUGUGUGUUAUUUUGUGGAACUCACUAAGCAUUUAUGAUUACAAUGUUAUGUGUGAUGUGUUUCAGGUACUAGCGAGGAUCGCGGGAAGGCGCCGACAUGAUCUCUACACACUGACAGAGAAUUGUAUUUUGUGAUCUUGGGAAAUCUCUCCCAAAUCUCUCUCCAUAUGAGAAAUCUCUCCAAGUAUGUAAAAUCUCUGCUAUAUCUCUCCACGUAUGUCAAAUAUCUCCUUUUAUGAGAAAUCUCUCCAAGAAUGAGGAAUCUCUACCAAACCUCUCUCCAUAUGAGAAAUCUCUCCAAGUAUGUGAAAUCUCUCCACAUAUGUCAAAUAUCUCCCAAAUCUCUCCUUAUAUGAGAAAUCUCUCCAAGAAUGUGAAAUCUCACCCAAAUCUCUCUCAAAAGUUCCUUAACCAGGUCAAAAACUGCUUAAAACGGGUUAAAAACGGAUAAAAUAGACUUAAGGACCCGAAACCCCUCUUAAGGAGCCGAAACCUCUUAAGGACCUAAAACCCCUCUUAGGAACCGAACUUGUCAGAAGCGAAGGUGUCAGAAGCGAAGUCAUCAGAAGCGAAGGCAUCAUAAGCGAACUUGUCAGAAGCGAACUUGUGAGAAGCGAAGGCAUCAGACGCGAACUUGUCAGAAGCGAAGGCAUCAGAAGCGACCGAACCCUCUCAGGAGCUGAAGGUCCCUUCGGACCGAACCUCGGCCUAGGAUCGAGAGGCCUUGCAGGAAGCUUUUUUUCACUCGGUUUUCGACUAGUUUUGCGUUUUAGGCCCGUUUUUAAUUGUUUUAACGUGGGAUCGUCACCCAAAACUUUAUUUUAACAUAUAAGGCCCCAUAUAUAUUAAUUAAUCACAAUUUUUGGGGAUAAAACGUUAUCCAUGAAGAGUGGGUGAGGUACAAAGGUUGAGUGUUGACUUUUCUUUAUUUUAUGACACAAGCAACCACUCCCAUACCCACUCCAUGUCACUAUUCUCCAUCAGCCCAUACCUAGUCAUUUAAUGGUACUUUUCCCACCAUUUUUCAUCCACACACUUGGUCAAGGGUUAGAAAACCCUCCUCCCUCCUCACAUUUCUUUCAUUUCCUCUCAUUCUUCCAUCAAGAACAAACUUCAUUUUCUCUCAUUUUCUCUCUCUAAAAUUCGAUAUUCAAGGCCAUUAUCCAAGCUUUUCUUCUACUUUUGGUAAGUAUUAACAUCCUCCAUAUGAUUAUUACACCCCAUUCUACUCCAAUAAUAGAUUGCUUACACAAAUUCUAUCAUUUUGGUGUUAGAUUCUAAAAAAUCUUCAAGGCAUCUUCAAGUGUUCUCAAGUUGAACACUUCCCUACUCCAACAUUCAUCUACUGAAAUCACAUAAGGUGAGUUCAUACCACUACAUUUUCAUGUUUUCUUAAGUUUUUAGGUGGGAAUACAAGUUAAAANGGGGGGGGAUACAAGUUACAACACCAAGAACAUAACUAAACUUUUCUAAUAGCUUUCAUCAGAAACGUUGGACUCCAUUCACGGACUGUUUUGGACAACUUAAACAUUUUAGUUUUCAAAAAUGUAUCAGGUGAAAAUAGUUCAAAUUCUUAGCUUUAAAAUGACUACUUGCACAUCUCCAUACAACGUUUCUACAAUUUAUGGUGAUUUUUACAAAACUGCCUAUCAUUUCAAACAUCAAUCCGGACCAGUCUGUGAUUAUGUAUUGUUUCACACAAGUUGAAGGUCAUAAAUGAUGGGUUUUAGCCAUAAAAACUUUCCUAUGUGCGCAUGCAAAACCCCAAUGNGGAGCUUCUAGAGUCACAAAUGUCACUCCUCUAAUGGCUUACAAACACCAAUAGCAAGAAGAAUGAUUUAGGAGAGAGGAGAGGGGAGGAAUUUCGACCAGAGGUUCCUUACUUUAGGUGAUGUGUCGAAUUCCGCAUGCCAUAGGGUCUAUUUAUACUUGUAGACUCCUUAAGGGUUACAACCUAAACCCUAAUUGGAUAAUCUUCUCUUAAGGCUAUCCAAAUCCAUUCCUAGAUAACUUAUAUGGACGAUUUUAGCUAUCCCUAUGCUCUUAGAAUCCGUCCAAAGCAUAUCCCAAUGGAUUUACAGUCUAAAGUUUAACUAUCAAACAAUUGACAGUUUGUACCCCUUUAUUUAAUUAAUCUCUUUAAGUCACCAAAUUAAUUCCAAUUAAUUCUAUGACUUAUAUUAAUUAAAUAACCAUAUAUUAUUCUUUAUAAUAUUUACUCUCUCUCAAUAAAUCAUCCCAUCAAGUUGCUAUGGUGAAGGCAACCCAAAAGGACCAUGCACAACCGGGUCAAGUACUUGCCUAAUAUAGUUGUAGCCUUAGACACUAUUCCAACAAUAAAAAAUCAUGAUAAAAAUUAUGAAUAAACUAGACACAUUUUAGGAACUCUCAGAAUUUACGGAUUCAGUUUUCAACUUCGUAUGAUUUUUCUAUGAUCCUUCUAAAACAGUGUAGAAGAGUUAAAAACUAGUUAAUAGCUUAUAACUUUCAACACACUUUGUAACAUGUUGAACAAAGUGUUAAAUCUUUGAUGACUACAUAUUUUGCAUGUGUUUCUUGUUGUGGUAUAAUUAUAUAACAGAAAGUACUCACUGAAUUGUAAGAAUCCUCCAUUAUUACCAUUAGUACAAAACAAAGCAAGAUAAACAUAGUUAUAUUUUGCUAUACAUUCGACUUACAUAGAAAAUGGUUCUUAUACACCACAAACAAACAUACUAAAUUAUAAUAGGUAUAGUUAGGUUUCUUAUACAUUUCAAACAUCUUGAUAAACUAUAAUAGGUAUAGUGUAUGUUCAUUUACGUUACAAAAGGUUUUCAUACGAAAAGAGGUACAAAUACAAAGUACCGGGUUUAUACGAAAAGGGGUACAAAUACAAAGUACUGGUUGUAUACAAAAAGGGGUA